Molecule: ribosomal RNA, 440 nt
Filed under: uncultured bacterium
Lineage: Bacteria
Description: partial 16S ribosomal RNA
Rfam family: Bacterial small subunit ribosomal RNA
Source: RNAcentral
CCUACGGGUGGCAGCAGUGGGGAAUAUUGCACAAUGGGCGGAACCCUGAUGCAGCUACGCCGCGUGAGUGAAGAAGUAUUUCUGUAUUUAAAGCUCUAUCAGCAGGGAAGUAAAUGACGGUACGUGACUAAGAAUCCCCGUCUAACUACGUUCCAGCAGCCGCGGUACUACGUAGGGUGCAAGCGUUAUCCGGAUUUAUUGAGUGUAAUGGGAGCGUAUACGGCAGGAAAAGUCCGGAGUGAAAGCGCGUGGCUCAACCCCGGGACUGCGUGUGAUACUCCCAUGCUAGAGUGCUGGAGCGGUAAGCGGAAUGAAUAGUGUAGCGGUGAAAUGCAUAGAUAUUAUACAGAACACCAGUGGCGAAGGCAGCUUACUGAACAGCAACUGACGUUGAGGCACGAAAGCGUGGGGAGCAUACAGGAUUAGAUACCCGGGUAGUC